RNAcentral lists this ribosomal RNA (346 nucleotides) under Streptococcus uberis. RNAcentral's name for it is "bacterial SSU rRNA". It matches the Rfam family "Bacterial small subunit ribosomal RNA", at positions 23 to 359 of the family's 1533-position model. Lineage: Bacteria; Bacillati; Bacillota; Bacilli; Lactobacillales; Streptococcaceae. The record is from RNAcentral.
CUCAGGACGAACGCUGGCGGCGUGCCUAAUACAUGCAAGUAGAACGCUGAGGACUGGUGCUUGCACUGGUCUAAGGAGUUGCGAACGGGUGAGUAACGCGUAGGUAACCUACCUCAUAGCGGGGGAUAACUAUUGGAAACGAUAGCUAAUACCGCAUGACAAUAGGGUACACAUGUACCCUAUUUAAAAGGGGCAAAUGCUUCACUAUGAGAUGGACCUGCGUUGUAUUAGCUAGUUGGUAAGGUAACGGCUUACCAAGGCGACGAUACAUAGCCGACCUGAGAGGGUGAUCGGCCACACUGGGACUGAGACACGGCCCAGACUCCUACGGGAGGCAGCAGUAGGG